Molecule: long non-coding RNA, 413 nt
Filed under: Mytilus galloprovincialis (Mediterranean mussel)
Lineage: Eukaryota; Metazoa; Mollusca; Bivalvia; Mytilida; Mytilidae
Source: RNAcentral
CCAAAAAUACCGAUCUCAAAGAAAAUUCAAAAUGGAAAGUCCCUAGUCAAAUGGCAAAAUCAAAAGCUCAAACACAUCAAACGCACUGUUAUUUUCCUGGCAAAUCGAUGUCUUUUCAAAAGAGGGACGAAAGAUACCAAAGGGACAGUCAAACUCAUAAAUCUAAAACAAACUGACAACGCCAUGGCUAAAAAUAAAAAAGACAAACAGAAAAACAAUAGUACACACGACACAACAUAGAAAACUAAAGAAUAAACAACACGAACCCCACCAAAAACUAGGGGUGAUCUCAGGUGCUCCGGAAGGGUAAGCAGAUCCUGCUCCACAUGUGGCACCCGUCGUGUUGCUUAAGUUCAACUUGUUCAAAAGCACAUAUUUUUUAUGGAUAGUCUACUUUGUAUAACAUAUCAACC